This 1621-nucleotide long non-coding RNA is filed under the name Solanum lycopersicum (tomato). RNAcentral's name for it is "long non-coding RNA (SLYC_LNC000988)". Lineage: Eukaryota; Viridiplantae; Streptophyta; Magnoliopsida; Solanales; Solanaceae. The record is from RNAcentral.
CUCUUCCUCCCCCCUCUCCAAGCCGCCUCUCCUCUCUCUCUUCCCCCCCUCUCCAAGCCGUCUCUCCUCUUCCGUUCCUCUCCUCUUUACAGGCAGCAGCAGCCGGCGACCACCACCAGACGCGACAGCAGCCGGCGACAGCCACCAGCAGCUGCAGCAAACAGCGCACGUAACAGCGACCGCCGGCGAAACCAGGAGCAGCAGCAGCUUCUCUAGCAGCAGCGACCGCCGGCGAAACCAGCAGCCAUGGCGAGCAGCAGCAGGCGGCGCCGCUCCUUCCUCCCUCUCCCGUCAUUCUCCACUUCUCCCCUCUUCUCGUCUCCUCUUCUCCUUCGUCCUCUUUUCCUUUUUUCUUCUUGCAGGGAAGCAGUCCAACAACAGUGACAGCAGCUCCGACAACGCCAGCCAGCAGCCACUCCGACCAGCAGCUAUGGCGGAACGCCGGACGAACAGCAGCAAGGACGUACAACAUUGAUUCCGGCCAGCAGCUUGACGCCAUCCUCACUUGUACCGGGAGUUUUAAAGCUUUAGCUCAUUCAAGACGGAUCUUCACAGAUCCGUCUAGGUUAGUUUCUGUUUUAGUUUUCCAUUAUAGAUAUUUAAUUUGCCUAAUGUAUGCAUGUUUUAGAUAGAUUUUGCUAUGAGCAUGAGAAUAAAUUAUGAGUUGCUUGACCUUAUGGACUGUUCUUGUUGAUUUUCUCUUGAAAAUUUGCAAAAUACAUGUGUUUUAGCCAUGUUGAAAACAAUAUUGUAUAAUAAUCAGUUUAUGUAAGUCUGCUAAAUGUGAUUUGGGUAUUGACAUGCUACUUGUAUAUUGGUUUCACUUUGAUUAUUAUUUGUUAUGAUAAGUCUUGUAAUUUUUAAUAGUAGUUGCAGAUUUCUUAUAUCUUUUUAAACAUUAUUGUCAUUUUAAUUGAUUAUUUUAUUUUACCUUGAUUGACUUCAAAUAUAUUCUUGGUUGUUAUAUUUUUGGAAAGUGAUAUUUAAUUAAGGUAAAAAGGACUGUACUGAUUUUACUCUCUACUAGUUAAGGAAAAUAAGUUUAAUUGAUCUAGUUUUCCUUGUAAAUAAAUAUUGCUCCAUAUUAAUUGAUUCCUUACUUGUUUGUAUUAUGGUAAUGAAUUAUUUUUAAAAUUUUCUGAUUUGGCUCUCUUUUAAAAUAAGGAAAAGGGAAUAUUAAUUAACUCCUUUAAAUAUUUCUUUUCCUUAUUUGUUCCCCCUCCUCUACUAUAUAAAUAAGACCCCUCCCUUCAUUUAGAGAACACCAUUCACUCUUAACCAAAAAUUCUCUUAUCACUCUCCCUCAUCUCAUUGCUCUCUUGCUACUUUAAACAACAUUAAUAUUUCUGUGAAUAUUCAAGUGUUUUUCUUCGCUAUUUUCCUACUUUGUUCGAGUAAAGGGUGAAUCAUCUUGUUUUGUUUAACAGGUUAGUAUUCUUAACAUUCAUAUUAUUUUCAUAUUCACAUAUUUGUGUAAACCAUUGUCUGUUUUUUAUAUAGAAUCCGUCAUUAAACGAUUGCAUAUUGUCUCACCUUAACUAACAAGUGUGAUUACUUGUGUAGUUAUUUAAUUACUUUGACAGGUUUCAUAUUUGAAGUUCGAGUUGAAGAUUAAUUGAAG